Molecule: ribosomal RNA, 364 nt
Filed under: uncultured bacterium
Lineage: Bacteria
Description: bacterial SSU rRNA
Rfam family: Bacterial small subunit ribosomal RNA
Source: RNAcentral
CAGAUGCUAAUACCGCAUAAACCUAACACCGCAUGGUGUAGGUUGAAAGAUGGUUUCGGCUAUCACUUUAGGAUGGGACCCCGCGGUGCAUUAGUUAGUUGGUGAGGUAAAGGCUCACCAAGACCGUGAUGCAUAGCCGACCUGAGAGGGUAAUCGGCCACACUGGGACUGAGACACGGCCCAGACUCCUACGGGAGGCAGCAGUAGGGAAUCUUCCACAAUGGACGAAAGUCUGAUGGAGCAACGCCGCGUGAGUGAAGAAGGUUUUCGGAUCGUAAAACUCUGUUGUUGGAGAAGAAUGUAUCUGAUAGUAACUGAUCAGGUAGUGACGGUAUCCAACCAGAAAGCCACGGCUAACUACGUG